Molecule: ribosomal RNA, 465 nt
Filed under: uncultured bacterium
Lineage: Bacteria
Description: bacterial SSU rRNA
Rfam family: Bacterial small subunit ribosomal RNA
Source: RNAcentral
UCCAGACUCCUACGGGAGGCAGCAGUGAGGAAUAUUGGUCAAUGGGCGCGAGCCUGAACCAGCCAAGUCGCGUGAGGGAAGACGGUCCUAUGGAUUGUAAACCUCUUUUGUCGGGGAGCAAAAGACGCCACGCGUGGCGUUCCGAGAGUACCCGAAGAAAAAGCAUCGGCUAACUCCGUGCCAGCAGCCGCGGUAAUACGGAGGAUGCGAGCGUUAUCCGGAUUUAUUGGGUUUAAAGGGUGCGUAGGCGGGACCUUAAGUCAGCGGUAAAAUUGCGGUGCUCAACGCCGUAGAGCCGUUGAAACUGGGGUUCUUGAGUGAGCGAGAGGUAUGCGGAAUGCGUGGUGUAGCGGUGAAAUGCAUAGAUAUCACGCAGAACCCCGAUUGCGAAGGCAGCAUACCGGCGCUCAACUGACGCUGAGGCACGAAAGUGCGGGUAUCGAACAGGAUUAGAUACCCCUGUAC